Molecule: unclassified non-coding RNA, 332 nt
Filed under: soil metagenome
Description: partial contains 5.8S ribosomal RNA, internal transcribed spacer 2, and large subunit ribosomal RNA
Rfam family: 5.8S ribosomal RNA (bases 1-120)
Source: RNAcentral
GAUGAAGAACGCAGCGAAAUGCGAUACGUAAUGUGAAUUGCAGAUUUCAGUGAAUCAUCGAAUCUUUGAACGCACAUUGCGCCCGCUAGUAUUCUGGCGGGCAUGCCUGUUCGAGCGUCAUUUCAACCAUCAAGCCCCAGGCUUGCGUUGGAGCCCUGCGGCUGCCGCAGGCUCCCAAAUCCAGUGGCGGGCUCGUCGUCGUACCGAGUGCAGUAAACAUCCUCGCUCAGGGAACGUGACGGGUUCUUGCCGUGAAACCCCCCACAUAUCAAGGUUGACCUCGGAUCAGGUAGGAAUACCCGCUGAACUUAAGCAUAUCAAUAAGCGGAGGA